This 275-nucleotide ribosomal RNA is filed under the name uncultured Rubritepida sp. RNAcentral describes it as "partial 16S ribosomal RNA". It matches the Rfam family "Bacterial small subunit ribosomal RNA", at positions 338 to 630 of the family's 1533-position model. The record is from RNAcentral. Lineage: Bacteria; Pseudomonadati; Pseudomonadota; Alphaproteobacteria; Acetobacterales; Roseomonadaceae.
CCUACGGGGGGCUGCAGUGGGGAAUAUUGGACAAUGGGCGCAAGCCUGAUCCAGCAAUUCCGCGUGGGUGAAGAAGGUCUUCGGAUUGUAAAGCCCUUUCGGCAGGGACGAUGAUGACGGUACCUGCAGAAGAAGCCCCGGCUAACUUCGUGCCAGCAGCCGCGGUAAUACGAAGGGGGCUAGCGUUGCUCGGAAUGACUGGGCGUAAAGGGCGCGUAGGCGGUUUAGACAGUCAGGCGUGAAAUUCCUGGGCUUAACCUGGGGGCUGCGUUUGA